RNAcentral lists this ribosomal RNA (499 nucleotides) under Lomentospora prolificans. RNAcentral's name for it is "Scedosporium prolificans Eukaryotic small subunit ribosomal RNA". It matches the Rfam family "Eukaryotic small subunit ribosomal RNA", at positions 1027 to 1551 of the family's 1831-position model. The record is from Rfam by way of RNAcentral. Lineage: Eukaryota; Fungi; Ascomycota; Sordariomycetes; Microascales; Microascaceae.
UAACUAUAAACUAUGCCGACUAGGGAUCGGACGAUGUUAUUCUUUGACGCGUUCGGCACCUUUCGAGAAAUCAAAGUGCUUGGGCUCCAGGGGGAGUAUGGUCGCAAGGCUGAAACUUAAAGAAAUUGACGGAAGGGCACCACCAGGGGUGGAACCUGCGGCUUAAUUUGACUCAACACGGGGAAACUCACCAGGUCCAGACACAGUGAGGAUUGACAGAUUGAGAGCUCUUUCUUGAUUCUGUGGGUGGUGGUGCAUGGCCGUUCUUAGUUGGUGGAGUGAUUUGUCUGCUUAAUUGCGAUAACGAACGAGCCCUUAACCUGCUAAAUAGCCCGUACUGCUUUGGCAGUUCGCCGGCUUCUUAGAGGGACUAUCGGCUCAAGCCGAUGGAAGUUUGAGGCAAUAACAGGUCUGUGAUGCCCUUAGAUGUCCUGGGCCGCACGCGCGUUACACUGACAGAGCCAGCGAGUAUUUCCUUGACCGGAAGGUCCGGGUAAUC